This 2353-nucleotide long non-coding RNA is filed under the name Olea europaea subsp. europaea. Lineage: Eukaryota; Viridiplantae; Streptophyta; Magnoliopsida; Lamiales; Oleaceae. The record is from RNAcentral.
CCUGUCACAUGAAAAUUAGCAAUAUCAGCAAACCAAGGCAAGUCAGAAACACUAAAAAGUUGUUCAUCAGGGAAAGUAUCCUUGAUCAAUGUUGUUUCAAACGAUUCAUCACAAGUAAGCCUAGACAACUUUCCCUGAUCGAUGUUGUUUCAAACGAUUCAUCACAAGUAAGCCUAGACAAGUGAUCAGCUACAACAUUCUCUACUCCUUUCUUUUCUCGAAUGGUGAUGUCAAAUUCUUGGAGUAAAAGAAUCCACCUAAUCAACCUAGGUUUGGUAUCUUUCUUACAGAGAAGAUAUUUUAAAGCUGCAUGAUCACUAAAAAUAACAAUUGGUGAGCCAACAAGAUAUGAUCGAAAUUUGUCCAAAGCAAACACUACAGCAAGCAAUUCUUUUUCAGUAGUAGAAUAAUUCAUUUGAGCAUUAUUUAGAGUUUUACUUGCAUAGUAAAUGACAUGAGGUUUCUUAUCUUUUCUUUGGCCUAAGACAGCUCCAACAGCAUAAUCACUAGCAUCACACAUGAUUUCAAAAGGUAAAUUCCAAUCUGGAGGUUGCAUGAUAGGAGCACAAGUAAGUAUGUUCUUAAAUUUAACAAAAGCUUCUUGACAAGACUUAGUCCAUUCAAAAGGCAUGUCUUUAGAUAAGAGAUUACACAAUGGUUUAGAUAUGGCACUAAAGUCUUUGAUAAACCUUCUAUAAAAACCAGCAUGUCCUAAAAAAGAUCUUACCUCUUUAACACUAUGUGGAGUAGGCAAAUUAGAAAUCAAUUCAGUUUUAGAUUUGUCUACCUCAAUUCCAUUAGGUGAUACAAUAUGACCAAGUACGAUGCCCUUAGUGACCAUAAAAUGACAUUUUUCCCAGUUGAGCACAAGAUUCUUUUCUUCACACCUAACUAAAACUUUUUGCAAGUUAGUUAGACAAUCAUCAAAUGAAUCCCCAAAAAUAGUAAAAUCAUCCAUGAAAACUUCCAAAGAUCUUUCAAUCAUGUCGCUAAAAAUACUAAGCAUGCAUCUUUGAAAUGUAGCUGGUACAUUACAUAAUCCAAAAGGCAUUCUACGAUAAGCAAAAGUACCAAAGGGACAUGUGAAAGUGGUCUUUUCUUGGUCCUCAGGUGCAAUUUCAAUUUGGUUAUAUCCAGAAUAUCCAUCUAGAAAACAAUAAAAUUCAUGUCCUGCCACUCUUUCCAACAUCUGAUCCAUAAAAGGUAAAGGAAAAUGAUCUUUCCUAGUCAUUGAGUUGAGUUUCCUAUAGUCGAUACACAUGCGCCAACCAGUAACAGUUCUAGUUGGAAUUAACUCAUUUUCUUCAUUUUUGACUACAGUAACACCAGAUUUUUUUGGUACAACUUGGGUUGGACUUACCCAUCUACUAUCAGAAAUAGGAUAAUUGAUUUCAUUAUUUAAGAGUUUAAUGACUUCAUUUCUUACCACCUCUUUUAAAACAGGAGUAAGCCUUCUUUGCAUUUCUCUUGUAGGUUUAGCAUAUUCCUCCAAAUAAAUCUUAUGUGUGCAAAUCAAAGGACUAAUCCCCUUUAUAUCAGCUAUGGUCCAUCCUAAAACAUUUUUAUGCAUUUUUAAAGUUUACAAUAACUUACCUUCUUGGUGCGCAUCAAGUUGGGAAGAAAUUAUUACCGGAAGAGUUUCAUCUUCACCCAAAAAUGAGUAUUUCAGAUUAGAUGGUAAUGGCUUCAAGUCGAGCUUUGGCAUUUGAACACUUGAAAUCAUGGACAUAUUGGACUAUUGUGAUAAUUUUUCAAACUUUGAUUUCCAAUCACUUAUCUUUUUCUCCUGAAAAGAAUUCAACAAAGAAAUUAUAUGCGAAUUUUCAGAAUUAUUGUUAAAUUCAAAUUCUAGCACAUUAGAUGAAGAUGUAGUGAUAAGCUGAUCAUCAACAAUUUGUUCAAUAAAAUCUACUUCAUACAAAUCAUCAUUAUCUCCAUGUUGCCUGCAAAUGUUAAAAACAUUCAUUUCCACAGUCAUAUUUCCAAAAGAGAGUUUUAAGAUACCAUUUCUACAAUUUAUCAACGCAUUUGAAGUAGCAAGAAAGGGACGUCCUAGAAUGACAGGUAUUUGUGCAUUUGAAUUUAAAACAGGAUGUGUGUCCAAAACUAUAAAAUCAACAGGAUAAUAGAAUUUAUCAAUUUGAACUAGAACAUCCUCCUCUUGGAACUUUUACUGAACGAUCAGCAAGUUGAAGUGUUGUUGCUGUUGGUUUAAGCUCUCCCAAACCAAGUUGCUCAUACACAGAAAAAGGUAAUAGAUUAACACUAGCACCAAGAUCAAGCAAAGCACGCUCUAUCCUAUUAUUCCCGAUCACACAAGAAAUUGUUGGACAACUAGGAUCUUUGAAUUUAG